AGUUCGAUCUGGCUCAGAUUGAACGCUGGCGGGAUGCUACACAUGCAAGUCGAACGGCGGCACGGACUUCGGUCUGGUGGCGAGUGGCGAACGGGUGAGUAAUGUAUCGGAACGUGCCUAGUAGCGGGGAUAACUACGCGAAAGCGUAGCUAAUACCACAUACGCCCUUCGGAGAAAGCGGGGGACCUUCGGGCCUCGCACUAGAGCGGCCGAUAUCGGAUUAGCUAGUUGGUGGGGGUAACGG
RNAcentral lists this unclassified non-coding RNA (244 nucleotides) under uncultured Bordetella sp. RNAcentral's name for it is "partial 16S-23S ribosomal RNA intergenic spacer". It matches the Rfam family "Bacterial small subunit ribosomal RNA", at positions 10 to 263 of the family's 1533-position model. Lineage: Bacteria; Pseudomonadati; Pseudomonadota; Betaproteobacteria; Burkholderiales; Alcaligenaceae. The record is from RNAcentral.